GUGCCAGCCGCCGCGGUAAUACGGAGGGGCUAGCGUUGCUCGGAAUUACUGGGCGUAAAGCGCACGUAGGCGGAUUGGAAAGUCAGAGGUGAAAUCCCAGGGCUCAACCCUGGAACUGCCUUUGAAACUCCCAGUCUUGAGGUCGAGAGAGGUGAGUGGAAUUCCGAGUGUAGAGGUGAAAUUCGUAGAUAUUCGGAGGAACACCAGUGGCGAAGGCGGCUCACUGGCUCGAUACUGACGCUGAGGUGCGAAAGCGUGGGAGCAAACAGGAUUAGAUACCCUGGUAGUCCACGCCGUAACGAUGAAUGCCAGUCGUCGGGUAGCGAUGCUAUUCGGUGACGACACCUAACGGAUUAAGCAAUUCCGCCGUGGGACGUACGGCCGACGAACGGUUAAACU
Molecule: ribosomal RNA, 399 nt
Filed under: uncultured Haematobacter sp.
Lineage: Bacteria; Pseudomonadati; Pseudomonadota; Alphaproteobacteria; Rhodobacterales; Paracoccaceae
Description: bacterial SSU rRNA
Rfam family: Bacterial small subunit ribosomal RNA
Source: RNAcentral